RNAcentral lists this ribosomal RNA (444 nucleotides) under uncultured marine microorganism. RNAcentral describes it as "bacterial SSU rRNA". It matches the Rfam family "Bacterial small subunit ribosomal RNA", at positions 356 to 815 of the family's 1533-position model. The record is from RNAcentral.
GGGGAAUUUUCCGCAAUGGGCGAAAGCCUGACGGAGCAAUACCGCGUGAGGGAGGAAUGCCUUUGGGUUGUAAACCUCUUUUCUCAGGGAAGAAGAUCUGACGGUACCUGAGGAAUAAGUAUCGGCUAACUCCGUGCCAGCAGCCGCGGUAAUACGGAGGAUGCAGGCGUUAUCCGGAAUCAUUGGGCGUAAAGCGUCCGCAGGUGGUUUCCAAAGUCUGCUGUUAAAGACUGGAGCUCAACUCCGGAACGGCGGUGGAAACUUGGAAACUAGAGUUCGGUAGGGGUAGCAGGAAUUCCCAGUGUAGCGGUGAAAUGCGUAGAUAUUGGGAAGAACAUCGGUGGCGAAGGCGUGCUACUGGACCGUAACUGACACUCAGGGACGAAAGCUAGGGGAGCGAAAGGGAUUAGAUACCCCUGUAGUCCUAGCUGUAAACGAUGGAAA